UUGGUGGGCGGGCGUACUUGUAGGGUGGUACUAAUAUUUUUUCAUGUCGGUCUUAUUCUCGCACGAUCAGUAAAAGCUAAAAUGACGGGGACUCCGUGUGUUCCCUGUUUUCUGGUGGCAGUAUUAUGGGUUGGCUGCUCCGGUUUGACACUCUCUAUUCCUACAAGCCCCGUUUUCAGACGGGUAGGCGGCGAUGUGACAUUAAGCUUUUCACUUAAUCCUUCAAAUGCCGUGUUACAGGCUGUGACCUGGACGUUCACUAACACCACUAACAAUGUGGUGAUUUUGUCGGAUGGUGCAGUUUCAUACGGACAGGGUAUGAAGGAGAGCCCAUCUGAACAACAUCACAGGAUUUCUGUCGCUCUUCAGACUGACACUAAAUGACUCGGGACAGUACAGCGUGAGCAUCAUAACUACUGAGGGAGGGAGUGCAAGUGGAAGUGUCACACUUCAAGUGUUAGACAUGUUGUUAACUACAGAUGAAACUGUAGCAAUUGCUGUGUGCUGUGUUCUUCUUUGUACUUGCUGUUACUGCUCUAGUCGUUUUUCUAUUGAUGAGACAUCGCCGGUAAGUACCAUCCACAAGUAUACUAAGUUUCUUUCAUUUUUAUUUUGUUUGCGAUUACAAGCUUUAUAAAUGAAUAAUUACUAUUAUGACAAAGUGCCUAAAUGGCAAGAGAUUACCAGAGGCAAGGUCACCACCAAGUCAGGACAGUACAGAAAUCCAUCUAACAGCCGCCCCUCCAGAAGAGAAAGAAAGAGAGUGCCACAUUUACUGCAGUAGAGGCCCUGCAUAUGCCACUGUGAAACACAGAGUGAUAUGCUCCAAUUGUAUGCUGCAUGUCCCCAAAAGCAUCAGUCAGGGGCACCAGCUGAAGUGUGUUAGAGAGAGAGCAAGAGAGCUACUAAGUUCAAAGUGGGUACUGUAAUUCCCUUGACAACAGAGGACAGGGAGCCACCUGCUACCAGGAACACAUCACCUCUUCUUCCAGGAAUAGAGUGUGGACAGGAAGGAAAUGUCAGGGGUAGCAAAAUGACCAGGACAGUGAAAGGUAAAUGGUCACAAGAAGGAACAUAAAGGACCAUGCUAUCCCUCUGAAACAGGAGGCAACUGGGGAAUGGCCUUGUACAAUAAAACAAUUUUUUCUUUGUAGCUUGGGUUUCUUGGUGCCAAAUUUCUUUUGAGUGUUGAUGAAACUUGAUGAAGCCUUGGGGCACAAUUGGCUUCAAACAGGUUAUGAAUAAUUAUCUGAGAGAUCAGGAAUAAUAGGCAGGAUGCAUUCUCCUCAUAUGGGGAUAUCAUUGAGAAUGUUAUGUUCAUUUGGGACAAGACUUUUGCAACAGAGAAAUGACAUCAAAUGUAAGGGAUGAUCUAGAAGAGUGAAUUAAAGAGAGCUGAGAGGUCAAGAGAAGUCAGCACUGUAAAAGCCAAGAUGCAAACCAUAACUAAAAGUCAAAAAUAUAAAAAAUAAGUUAAGCAUAAAUAUUCUUUGUUUUCUGAAUGGUCCAUUGUGAGUUUAUUCCCUUGUUUAUAUCUAAUGUUAUGGCCAGAUGAAGAUUCUGUUGUGCUCUUGGGUAUCAGCACCUCUAGAGCCUUCAUACCCAUACAAACAGAAACAAAUCAAAUAUAAUGCACUAUACACCAAUAAAUAAAUAAAUAAAUUAAUUAAUUAAUAAGACAGUAUUAAAGCAAAAAUACUUUCAGAAGAUGGGGAGCUGGACCUGAAUCCAUUUUCUCAAUUUUCAAAUGAAGACCUAGAAGUGGUUUGCUAUUAGAACCUGUACAUAACUGUUAAAAAAUUUUGAAUCAGAGAUUUGCUUUUGUUUUCAAAUUAAACAAAACUUAGAAAACAUGAAAUAACAGCAUAUGCUUUUUUAUUUCUAAUGGUUGUGUUUGGGUUAAAAAGAGUAAGUUUAUCUAAUUCAUUUUCCAAAAAUAGAAACAAACAGAUUGAGGCCUAGGUUCAUUCCUUGUAAUUACUGUAUAUAUUCUAAAGACAUUUAUUUAAAUGUGAACAAAAUGCACAACAAAAAGGGUAAAUACAUACUAUAGAAAAAAGAAUUAUAACUACUAAAGUAUCCUUACAGCCAAAACUCAAGCAAAUCCAUAGAAUAAGUCAAAACACAGCGCAGUGCAAGAUAAAAGGGCAAAAAGCAGAACAGCUUCUUUCUAAAUGAAGACCCUUGCUAAAUUGCUACUUCCCUUACUUAUUUUUCACCUGGUCCCCAUAAUGUAGAAAUGCUAGAAGAUCUUUGCUGCUGAUCAUCAGGUGGGGCUUGAACCCCAUCAUAAUCAUCCUCAGACUCACUAAUGUUAGCCCCUUGCUUCUGGGUACUUGUGUUGCUGUAACUGUUAUCCACCCCUCAUAUCCUGCCAAGUUAAUAUUAGCUUUUCUCUGCUAUUGAAACUUCACGCUUUCUAAGUAAAAAAUCUAGUCAUUUCAGGCACAGUUUGUAAUGUAGCUGCAUUUUGAGACUCUUUAUUUUUCUUUUAGAGCAUCUAUUAAGCCAGGAGAUCUUGAUCUUUAAUUAUCAAAAGCCUCAUCUCUAGUUGCCAACAAGCUAAGUGGGCAGCACAAUAAGAAAUCUUAUCUAACUUCCAUCCAUCCAUCCUCUUCCACUUAUCCGAGGUCAGG
This is a long non-coding RNA of Polypterus senegalus (gray bichir), 2636 nucleotides long. RefSeq lists it as uncharacterized. Lineage: Eukaryota; Metazoa; Chordata; Cladistia; Polypteriformes; Polypteridae. The record is from RefSeq and is a predicted model, not a curated record. The transcript is spliced from 3 exons.